RNAcentral lists this long non-coding RNA (1064 nucleotides) under Anser cygnoides (Swan goose). Its description in RNAcentral is "lncRNA (ENSACDG00005013731.1)". Lineage: Eukaryota; Metazoa; Chordata; Aves; Anseriformes; Anatidae. The record is from RNAcentral.
GGAUGGACCCCGUGGUACGGAGCCGUGUGGGAGCAGUUCUUGAAGAGCUGCUGCCUGUGGGCAGCCCCCGCAGGCUCAGUUCGGGAAGGAGGUGAAAGAGGGUGUGUGUGGGGGGGGAAGGUGUUUUCAGUUUGCUUUUAGUUUCUCACUGCUCUUGUCUGUUAGUAACAGGCCAUAAUCUCCCUUCUGCCCGUUUUGCCCAUGAGAGCAACUGGUGAGCGAUCUCCCUGCCCUUACCUCAACCCAUGAGCUUUUUCUAUUGUAUUUUGUCCCCCUGCUCUGCUGAGGAGAGGAACCAGAGAGCGGCGUGCUGGAGCAGAGCUGCCUGUCGGUGUGAGUCCACCACACCCGGCAGGAGCAAAGUCGGAGGAGCAGCACCAUGGAGGUGCCGGGGCAGCCAAAAGAAGCGGUGGGUGGAUGCAGCUGCCUGCCUGGCUUCCCCUCGGGGCAUCCCAGCCCUGCAAGCAGAGAACUGCCCUCAGCCUCCAGCAGAUCCAGCUGAGCUGCGGCUGCCGGCCUGUUCAGGUGAAAAAAAAGCCCCUUGGAAGUGCUGGGGACCACAAUGCUGAGAAAGCCCCUGCAGGAAAAGGGCAGCUCCUUCCCUUGGGCCCCACUGCUGCCGUCAGGUCCCUUGGUAGCAGGGUGCUGUGGAUGGACCGAAGUGGCCAGGGCUCCACAUCUGCCUUUGCCGCAGGCACUUGGGCCGGUCCGCAGCACCAGCAUCACCUCCCCGUGCAGCCGGUGGGGAUGGCACAGCGGGGCAGCCGCUCACGCGUGCUAAUCCCCGCACGGGUCACUGGCUGGGAACAAGGCGAGGAUUGUUCCUCGGGCUGGGGAAGGCACGGCGAGGGGAGAGGGAAGAUGUGCUGCCCCCCGCCAGGCAGCGGUGAGGAGAAGUCAAAGGGGACUUCUUCAGAGAAAUGGGUGCUGUGUUUGGCUGGAGGGGAGAAAAUGUUUAGAGAUUAUUUUUUUCCCCCACAAUCUCAUUUCUUUCCCGCCCUCCUGGGCCUCUAGACCACAGAAUGGUGCUUACUCAACCCAAUAAAUAUUUAUGGCUUCAGACA